UUGCCAGCCCGCUCAGAAACUCAAAUGAAUUGACGGGGGCCCGCACAAGCGGUGGAGCAUGUGGUUUAAUUCGAUGGUACGCGAGGAACCUUACCAGGGCUUGACAUACGUUGGAAGCGCAUCGAAAGGUGCGUGCCGCUUGCGGCCGGCGUACAGGUGCUGCAUGGCUGUCGUCAGCUCGUGCCGUGAGAUGUUGGGUUAAGUCCCGUAACGAGCGCAACCCUUGUCCUUAGUUACCAGCACGUUAUGGUGGGCACUCUAAGGAGACUGCCGGUGACAAACCGGAGGAAGGUGGGGAUGACGUCAAGUCAUCAUGGCCCUUACGGCCUGGGCUACACACGUGCUACAAUGGUCGGUACAAAGGGUUGCCAAGCCGCGAGGUGGAGCUAAUCCCAUAAAACCGAUCGUAGUCCGGAUCGCAGUCUGCAACUCGACUGCGUGAAGUCGGAAUCGCUAGUAAUCGUGAAUCAGAAUGUCACGGUGAAUACGUUCCCGGGCCUU
This 501-nucleotide ribosomal RNA is filed under the name uncultured Pseudomonas sp. RNAcentral describes it as "bacterial SSU rRNA". It matches the Rfam family "Bacterial small subunit ribosomal RNA", at positions 880 to 1382 of the family's 1533-position model. The record is from RNAcentral. Lineage: Bacteria; Pseudomonadati; Pseudomonadota; Gammaproteobacteria; Pseudomonadales; Pseudomonadaceae.